RNAcentral lists this ribosomal RNA (119 nucleotides) under Pteropus alecto (black flying fox). The record is from RNAcentral. Lineage: Eukaryota; Metazoa; Chordata; Mammalia; Chiroptera; Pteropodidae.
AUCUAUGGCCAUGCCACCCUGAAUGCGCCCGAUCCCGUCUGAUCUCGGAAGCUAAGCAGGGUUGGGCCUAGUUAGUACUUGGAUGGGAGACCACCUAGGAAUACCAGGCACUGUAGGCG